CGAUGGAGGACGCGGUGUCCGCUCGGUCCCUCCCCGGUGAGCUCCGCACACUUCGGUGAAAUGUCAGCGUUGACCCAGCGGCGCCGCUUUCUCUUCCUGAUUCACCCCCGGCAGCCUCAGCUCGCCACCGCCAUGACAGUGUAGCCGUUCAGCCAGCGGAGCAUGCGCAGUGAGGAGCUCUGGCUGCUUCAGCUCGAGGGCAGACAUGACUUCUGGAGGGACUCCAGAGACUUGGGUCCGGACCUUCUCACACAUGCACAAAGCAGAAGGAGGUUCUCUGCUCCGAAGAGUUCGCAACAGCAACAAACCGUAGGAUCCAGUUUCUGCCGACUUUAAACUAGGGGGGCCAGUCGGACAAAGUAUGGAGGCUCUCUCUCACUCGGCUGUUUGCUCUGACACAUACAGCCCCUGCAGGGUGACUUCAUGUUUGUUCUGCAUGGACGGCUCAGCAGCCGUGAGUGUUGUUGUCCCAGAGGCAGCUGGCGUCACCGUUGCCACUGACCUCGCAGUAAACUGUAGCUGAGCCCGCGGGGACCCUGGGAGUCAUGGAAGCCAGCAGCACCACCCCAGAGACGCAGGGGCCUCGUCUCUGAUGUAAUGACCUGAAAUCAGCAGACUCGUUUGCUGCAGCUAAAAUGUAGACUUCCCAUUAUUUUUCUAACAGAGCUCUGGAGAGAUAAUGAUCAUCUUUAGCUCUCUUCCUGCAUUCCUUUGUUUCAAAGUCUUAUUGUCCAAGAAUAAGAUUAUGAUUUCUGCACGUAACCUAGUAUCUAAAAUAACAGUUCAAUCAAUGAGUGAUUGCAAAACACUGCAUUUUCAGAUUGCUUCUGACUCAAGCUAUCAAGAUACUGAAAUACGAGAAAGGUGCAUUAAUGGUGACAAAAGAAAACUCCAAACACACCAAACCUUCCAUUCAAGCCAUUAAUAUACAAUUGAUGUCUGUGCAAACAUUACAGCAGACAUUCAAAUUUAGUUGUUUGUGCAGUCUCAUCCCUCAAAAUUACAUUUCCUGUGUUUACUUCACCAACUGUCUGAUCAACGGUCAUUUAACACCCUGAGGAAGAGUAAUAAACAUGAAAUAUCACAUCCCAGCUGUCUACCUGCAGUAUCUGUAUGACUACCCCUUACAAACACUGUAUGAACAGAUUGUGUUUUUUUGUAUUUUUCAUUUUACACUCUGUUGCCAGUUGAGGAAACAUUUAAAUACUCUCAUAAAUACAUUAUGACUCUACAGCACCAUAUACUACAUCAUUUAAAAUGAUUGUGAAGUUCAAUCAACUCUUCUUAACGUCAUGAAAGUGAAAUUUAUUGCAGGGCUGUUGUUUUAAAUUUAGGAAGGGUAAACUGCCACUCGUAUUUUACCAACAGACAACAUUCUCCCCUUUGUUAUAACAAACAGAGUGGGUGGAUAACAUGCUACACACCUUCAUGACGUGAACACGCCUAAAGACUGGCUUGUCCUGAUGGGGGGUGUCAAGGAUCAAGGAAUUUCUUUCAUGAUCAUGGCACCGUUACAAGUUACCUGGAUUUAAAAAAAAAUGCUUUAUAUGUCCAA
This is a long non-coding RNA of Paralichthys olivaceus (Japanese flounder), 1555 nucleotides long. RefSeq lists it as uncharacterized. The record is from RefSeq and is a predicted model, not a curated record. Lineage: Eukaryota; Metazoa; Chordata; Actinopteri; Pleuronectiformes; Paralichthyidae.